UAUCUUUAGGCAGCAAUAAAUUUCUACAAGUAACUCAAAAGAUAAUGAUCCUCUUGACUUGAUGAGGGCUUUCUAGAUCCAGGGCAAUACCUGACCACCAUUCUAAUGGUAUGUUAGCUUAUUAAGGGCCUCCAAGAUCAACUUGGCCUGAAAUUUUCUAAGCUCAGCCCUCUCUCAUAAGCUCAGAAUGCUCCAAUUCAGCAACAUGCAGCUUGUUCCAUUUCUUCUCCAGCUCAGCUCGCUUUGAUGCAGCAAUCAACUCCAGGCCCUCCUUGGUCAUAAAAGUCUUGGACAAGCCCUGCUCUUUGAAAUCCCAGCUAUCUGAUCCACGCGGCUAGCUCCUUUGAAAUCUCAGGGGACGCCGGCAGCUGAGCCUUCUUGGAAUCUUGACCACCUCCCCACAACUUCUUGGACAACUCAAAAGCCUUCAAGUCUUGAGGCUUAGGUCGGGUCUUCUUUGUGGGAGUCGCAUGCGAAAUGUUAUUAAUUUUGUCGAAAUAUAUAUAUGA
RNAcentral lists this long non-coding RNA (509 nucleotides) under Rosa chinensis. RNAcentral describes it as "sRNA RchiOBHm_Chr2g0123331". Lineage: Eukaryota; Viridiplantae; Streptophyta; Magnoliopsida; Rosales; Rosaceae. The record is from RNAcentral.